UGCGGAUUGGUGUAAGGGUAACACGUUUGGCUCAUGUCCAGAAGAUAGGGGUUCGAAUCCUUUAUCCGCAC
This 71-nucleotide transfer RNA is filed under the name Antarctomyces psychrotrophicus. RNAcentral's name for it is "tRNA-Met". It matches the Rfam family "tRNA". Rfam says of the family: Transfer RNA (tRNA) molecules are approximately 80 nucleotides in length. Their secondary structure includes four short double-helical elements and three loops (D, anti-codon, and T loops). Further hydrogen bonds mediate the characteristic L-shaped molecular structure. tRNAs have two regions of fundamental functional importance: the anti-codon, which is responsible for specific mRNA codon recognition, and the 3' end, to which the tRNAs corresponding amino acid is attached (by aminoacyl-tRNA synthetases). tRNAs cope with the degeneracy of the genetic code in two manners: having more than one tRNA (with a specific anti-codon) for a particular amino acid; and 'wobble' base-pairing, i.e. permitting non-standard base-pairing at the 3rd anti-codon position. The record is from RNAcentral. Lineage: Eukaryota; Fungi; Ascomycota; Leotiomycetes; Thelebolales; Thelebolaceae.